This 301-nucleotide ribosomal RNA is filed under the name uncultured bacterium. RNAcentral describes it as "partial 16S ribosomal RNA". It matches the Rfam family "Bacterial small subunit ribosomal RNA", at positions 509 to 809 of the family's 1533-position model. The record is from RNAcentral.
CAGUCGCCGCGGGAAUACGUAGGGGGCGAGCGUUGUCCGAAGUUACUGGGCGUAAAGAGCGCGUAGGCUGGUCUUUAAGUGAGUGGUGAAAGGUUCGGGCUCAACCCGGACACUGCCUUUCAUACUGGGGACCUUGAGUGUGGGAGAGGCGAGUGGAAUGGUCGGUGUAGCGGUGAAAUGCGUAGAUAUCGAUCGGAACACCCAUGGCGAAGGCAGCUCGCUGGCCUAACACUGACGCUGAGGCGCGAAAGCGUGGGGAGCAAACAGGAUUAGAUACCCCCGUAGUCCCUGUCUCUUAUAA